Molecule: ribosomal RNA, 466 nt
Filed under: uncultured bacterium
Lineage: Bacteria
Description: partial 16S ribosomal RNA
Rfam family: Bacterial small subunit ribosomal RNA
Source: RNAcentral
CCUACGGGGGGCAGCAGUAGGGAAUCUUCCACAAUGGGCGAAAGCCUGAUGGAGCAACGCCGCGUGGGUGAAGAAGGUCUUCGGAUCGUAAAACCCUGUUGUUAGAGAAGAAAGUGCGUGAGAGUAACUGUUCACGUUUCGACGGUAUCUAACCAGAAAGCCACGGCUAACUACGUGCCAGCAGCCGCGGUAAUACGUAGGGGGCAAGCGUUGUUCGGAAUGACUGGGCGUAAAGGGUGUGUAGGUGGUUUGAUAAGUUAGAUGUGUAAUACCCAGGGCUUAACUCGGGUGCUGCAUCUAAAACUGUUAGACUUGAGUACUGGAGAGGAUAGUGGAAUUCCUAGUGUAGCGGUGGAAUGCGUAGAUAUUAGGAGGAACAUCAGUGGCGAAGGCGACUAUCUGGACAGCAACUGACACUGAGGCACGAAAGCGUGGGGAGCAAACAGGAUUAGAUACCCGGGUAGUC